ACAAACCUCACAGAACUCCCUUUCUCAGCAGAGGCCACCUCUCUUGAGUUCUCUAAUGAGCUGGCUUUGCCUUACUUAAAGACCCAGCAAUGACCUCCUCUGAAAGCAGCCAGGCAUUUUUUUUUUUUUUUUUUUUAAUGACAGAGUUCAGUUGUUAUGGGAAGGAUGCCAAGAGGAAGAUGGAGUCAACAUUUAGCAUUUCAUGUCAAAAUGGGAUUUCUGAGACAAAAAUGUAAAAAUAAACUUGAGACACAGGCUUUGUGAAGAAGAGGAUUUCAUUAACAUAUCUGGGGCCAAACUUCAUUGAUCAGCUCACAGAAUUUUAUCAUAAGCCAAGAAUAGAACAAAAACAGAGUAAAGUGAGGCAGUCCUUAUCAUAUAGAGGGGAGACAGAGGGACUUCCUGUUUGACCUUGAAUUGGGGGAAGAAGGCCACUGCCAUCAUGGAAGUAAAGGCAUAUCACCAGGAUCUACAGCUUGAAUUAUAUACAGGUUCAUCAGUGUUUCACCUCUGAAAUAAUGUGUCACAUGACAAGAAAGUCUCAUUACCUCUAGCCAUCUUGAAGUACAGCUAAUCAAACACAUCUCAGCUCCUGUGAGGUAGUGAUUAUGCCUGAAAUGGAUGCCAGCAGGAUCCAUAAACAGCAGCUGGAUGAAGGAAUGAGGAGACUCCAUUAGUGGGUAACACGAAAUGGUUAGAGCUUCGGAAUGGUGUAUUGUUCUAUGUAUAGCAGUGAAAUGAAGUAAAAAAUGUACUCCCAAAUUUGUGAAAAUACCAUAAUUUUAAGAAGCAUUUGUUGUUACUGUUUUCCCUACCAUCUGCUGAGCUGCUUCACAGAGAUUUUAUCAGCACUAGCCUCAAUGACCAGCAAGUCACCAGCUCCCUCCCAUCUGCAACCCACAUUGGCUUCUUUGCUGUUCCUCAUUAUAAUCCACGUAUAUCUCAAGCCUUUGUGUCAGCUAUUCUCUCCUCCUAGAUAAUCUUCACUCAGAUAUCUUUAUGAUUCCGUCACCGAAGAUGUUUUCCCCUAAUCGGACGAGUAGAAACAUUACCUGUCAUUGCCUCAGAAAAUAAAAGUUUAGAGACAAG
This is a long non-coding RNA of Canis lupus familiaris (dog), 1089 nucleotides long. RefSeq lists it as uncharacterized. The record is from RefSeq and is a predicted model, not a curated record. The transcript is spliced from 7 exons. NCBI's taxonomy places the organism in Eukaryota, Metazoa, Chordata, Mammalia, Carnivora, Canidae.